AUGUUGCCCGGGCUGGUCUCGAACUCCCUGGGCUCAAACGAUCUACCCACCUCAGCCUCCCCAAGUGUUGGGAUUACAGGGCUGCCGGGGUGUGCUGCUGGGGAGCGCGGCGUGGGCAGGACCACGCUGGACACGCAGUUCUCGUGCGGCCGCUCCCCGAGCAAUGCGCAGCGUGGGCUGAGGAGCGGCUCAGCGAGAUCGAGGCGAACGCGGCGCCCACGCUGCUGGAAAUCGUGGACGUGGCGGGCGCCGAGCACCUGGUCACGCUGCAGGACCUGGACAUCGGCCACAGCGACGGCUUCGCGGUGCUCCCGGCGUGUGCAGCGAGUUCUCGUUCCGGGCCGUGAGGCCGCUGCGCUAGCGCCUGCGCCUGCCGUGGGGACCCGGGGCCGUCCCGCUGGUGCUGGUGGGCACCCAGGCCGACCGGGACGACGAGCGCCAGGGGCAGCGAGGGGCGUUGCCCGUUCCCGGAGGUCACGGGAGCCAGCGGAGGGUGGACCAGGCGUUCACGCAGGCGGUGCGCGAGACGGAGGCCCGGCCGGGCCCGAGGAGGAGUUGCAGUGUUGGGAAGUUUUCUGUUGUCCUCUGGACUCCUUCCAGAAAAAGAUGGCCCUGGUGGCAGCCGCGAAGCGCGGGGAGGGAGUCGCGGACUGGGGCCGCGCUGGGAACCGAGCCUGCCAGGACGCUUCUAGCCCGCGCGCGGCCUCGAGUCCCACCGGUGCCCAGGCCUUGUUCCCCAAGACCCACGGGUGUAGAGCAGGCGCGCAGCCCCAGCGCCCCGAGCUCCCAAAGCUGUUCUUUACCAAAGUCUGCCCUUCGCAGCUUUCCAAGUUACUAUAACAGGUAAAAGGCAAGGGCUAACUUCUUAAGUAUUUAAUGGAGUUCUUUAGGCAGAUUCUGCACUCGGAAUUACUAAACGUUGAGAGCCCAGGAUGAACUAACUAUUCGGUUCAUCUUUUUUGUUGUUGUUUUUUGUUUUUUUGUGUUUUUUUUUGAGACUGUCGCCAGGCUGGAGUUCAGUGGCGAUCUCAGUGAUCUCGGCUCACCGCAACCUCCGCCUCCCGGGUUCAAGCGAUUCUCCUGCCUCAGCCUCCCGAGUAGCUGGGACUACAGGCACGCACCACCACGCGCGGCUAAUUUUUAUAUUUUUAGUAGAGACGAGGUUUCACCAUGUUGGCCAGGAAGGUCUUGAUUUCUUGACCUCGUGAUCCGCCUGCCUCGGCCUCCUGAAGUGCUGGGAUUACAGGCGUGAACCACGGUGGCUGGCCUAUUUGGCGCAUCUUAAAGCAGCAAUAUACAGGAUAGUAAAUGGAAACAGGAGCGACUACUUCUGUACUUUAACAACAGUGAUUCAUUCUGUUUGCAGAGUUUUUCUUCUUUAAAAGAUGCCUUACUGCUUUAAGCCUGAAUGGGCAGAAUGUGCUUUCUUCAAAUGCAAUUUAUAUUUUUUUGAACUAUCUGGUUCUGAUAAUUAUAGUUUAGACUUGGAGCAUUUAGCUGAAGUUUAGAUCUUAGUUCCAUGAAGUUUCCAUCUCAUUUUCAGCACUGAAUUAAGCAAUCACUUUUUCCUUUCUAUAUAGUUCUAAAUAUAGUUACGACCUACUUAGCACAACCUUGCAAUUGGAUACGUGUCACUGGCAAAUUAAUUUUGUACCUAAAGAGAGUCCAGCGCUUUAGGUACAAAAGCUGUCAGUUUUGUGAUUAACAUCUGGUUGACUAUGCACAUGAAAAUGGAGCACAAAUACAUUUUUAAACUUUGUAAUUCUUACCAUUUGACUUUGUGAAUCAUAUUUAAAGCGCUAUGUUCUAAGAUUUCUGGAUGCUGUCAGAUGGCUUUACCAUUAUUUUCGGGAGUUUGUUUGUUGUAGAGAAAACUGCAGGAGGUGAGAGGAGAGAAAGACCCAGUUAUGCAGCAGGCAUUGCACCUGUGCUGUUAGCGGCAGCUGCCUUCAUACUUUGCCUGAAUUCCUGGAAUUUUUAAAUAGUGAAAUGGGUAUGGAACCCUAUGAAGAAUAGGUCAUCUUUUUGUUGAUUUUUAGCACAGCAAGCUUUAUCUAAUUUUUUUUUUUUUUUUUGAGACUUGCUCUGUUGCCUAGACUGGAGCACACUGGCCCAAUCUUGGCUCACUGCAACCUCCAUGUCCUGGAUUCAAGCAAUUCUCCUGCCUCCGUCUCCUGAGUAGCUGGGAUUACAGGCACCUGCCACCACGCCUGGCUGAUUUUUGUAUUUUUAGUAGAGACGGAGUUUUCCCAUAUUGGCCAGGCUGAUCUCGAACUCCUGACCUCAGGGGAUCCACCUGCCUCGGCCCCCCAAAGUGUUGGGAUUACAGGUGUGUGCCACCACACCCAGCCCUAAUUGGUUUUUGUUUGUUUGUUUGUUUUUGAGAUGGAGUCUCACUCUGUCGCCCAGGCUGGGGUGCAGUGGCCAGAUCUCAGCUCACUGCAAGCUCCGCCUCCCGGGUUUACGCCAUUCUCCUGCCUCAGCCUCCCGAGUAGCUGGGACUACAGGCGCCCACCACCUCGCCCGGCUAGUUUUUUGUAUUUUUUAGUAGAGACGGGGUUUCACCGUGUUAGCCAGGAUGGUCUCGAUCUCCUGACCUCGUGAUCCGAGCCUCCCAAAGUGCUGGGAUUACAGGCUUGAGCCACCGCUCCCGGCAAUAAUUGUUUUUAAACGUCCU
Molecule: long non-coding RNA, 2677 nt
Filed under: Papio anubis (olive baboon)
Lineage: Eukaryota; Metazoa; Chordata; Mammalia; Primates; Cercopithecidae
Description: lncRNA (ENSPANG00000043970.1)
Source: RNAcentral